Molecule: transfer RNA, 73 nt
Filed under: Flavobacterium sp. HJJ
Lineage: Bacteria; Pseudomonadati; Bacteroidota; Flavobacteriia; Flavobacteriales; Flavobacteriaceae
Description: tRNA-Ser
Rfam family: tRNA
About the family: Transfer RNA (tRNA) molecules are approximately 80 nucleotides in length.
Source: RNAcentral
AGGGUGUUAGUUCAAUUGGAAGAACAACAGUUUGCUAAACUGAAAGUGCAGGUUCGAGUCCAGGCACACCCUU